Molecule: ribosomal RNA, 253 nt
Filed under: uncultured bacterium
Lineage: Bacteria
Description: partial 16S ribosomal RNA
Rfam family: Bacterial small subunit ribosomal RNA
Source: RNAcentral
UACGUAGGGUGCAAGCGUUGUCCGGAAUUAUUGGGCGUAAAGAGCUCGUAGGCGGUUUGUCGCGUCUGCUGUGAAAUCCCGAGGCUCAACCUCGGGCCUGCAGUGGGUACGGGCAGACUAGAGUGCGGUAGGGGAGAUUGGAAUUCCUGGUGUAGCGGUGGAAUGCGCAGAUAUCAGGAGGAACACCGAUGGCGAAGGCAGAUCUCUGGGCCGUAACUGACGCUGAGGAGCGAAAGUGUGGGGAGCGAACAGG